CCUGUUGCCACAAACCCGUAGAUCCGAACUUGUGUUGAUCGUCCACACAAGCUUGUGUCUAUAGGUAUGUGUCUGGUAGG
MicroRNA precursor from Mesocricetus auratus (golden hamster), 80 nucleotides. Ensembl annotates it as microRNA 100. Its record names the gene Mir100. Lineage: Eukaryota; Metazoa; Chordata; Mammalia; Rodentia; Cricetidae. The record is from Ensembl.